GGCGGGGCGGGGGGCGCCGCGGUGAGGUGGGGGGCGCGGGCGUGCGGGACGGCGGGGUGCCGCGGCGGCUGCGGGGGGCGGCGGGUGCCCGUGUCCGUGGACGCCGCUAGUGGGGCGGCGCCCGGCGCCCACCUGAGCAGCCGCAGCCGGGCUGGGAGGGUGGCGGGGUCCCGGGGGGGAUCCCCGUGGUGGGGGGUCCCCGCGGCCGUGGGUGCCUUCCCGUCCGAGGGUGGCCGGCGCUGGCAGCGCCGUGGCAGGGCGCUGAGAGGGUUACCUGGACGCGUGCUUCGGGACGCGGGCAGCCUCGCCCGCCCUUGGGGUUUUAUUUAUUUCUUAUUAAUUAUUAUUUCUUUUUUAAGAGGAACUUGUUCUUGGAAAAUCGCAUUUAAUUUCGGUUUCUAUUCCAGUUUGAGAUUUCUGGUCGAGGCUGCGAUUACUGUUGACGUAGGGUAGUGCAGGGGCGCAGGUACCCGGGCGGCCGUGGUCACCCCUGCGCUCGCAGGGGCGUGCUGAAAUGAGUGAGUUUCUGCCCGUUAAUCACUUGAGAGCGUUUUUCCAGACAGAGACGUAGCGGGAGCAUUCGGGCGGCUGCUUCCAGGGAUGAUAUGAGCAAUUCUUAACUGGAAGAAGGGGGAGUGCAUGCUCACGCAAAAGCUCCCCCCCCCCCCCCCCCCCCGCCCCGAUCUUGCGCUCCGAAACUUCGUUAUUCAGUGAAAGCCCUGCUCUGAACACCGGAAAGCUUUGCUAUUUUCCAGGAAGGCUCGAAUUUUCUGUUUUGUCAUAUUUUCAGGAAAGGAUUAAUGUGAGGGCUCUGGGUACUGUGUGUUCAGAUCUUCUUUUGAUGUAAAUGGUUAAUUCGGCAGAAUCUGUGGCACAUUGCUCAAAGUGCAGUAAGUCUGGAAUAAAUCGAGUGUUUUUCGUUGCAUAAAAAAGUUCAAGAUCACUUUCAGUUCGACGAGAUGCUCUUCCAAAUACUAGCACUUUUUUUUGGUACACGUUCCUUUGCAACCUGUGUAAGGUAACUAAGCUGAGCACGGAAAUUAUCUCUCUGUAAAACCAUGUUCGUUUUUUCAGAUGGAAGAACAAAUCAAAUUAGGUCUUGUAUUUACCAAGCAAUUAAGUGCAGAUUAUUUUGUUACCACUUCAGAAGUCACCUCACUCUGUCAAUGUUACGAUGUAUCCAAUAAGCAACAAGGAUAACGUAAAAAUCUGGAAAGCCCGUAUCUGUCUUUGAGAGUUUUAAGUGUUCUCUCAGGUUAAAUUGAUUUGGGAUUUUUUUUUUUCCCCUUCCUUCCUGAAAUUUAUUAAUGAGAAAAUUACAAAUAACUCAGUUUGAGUAUCUUAAUGCACCUUUUACAAAGGGGAAUGCUUUACAAUGGUUGGGGGGGGGGGGGGGAAGUAAGCUGAAACAUUGUGAUAAUAGGAUUUGCAGUGUAAAAUAUGGCUAAUUUCUCUUGUAUGACUACAGGUGGCAGUGUAGAAGCCUAGAACAAAAAUUGGCAGAAAUUAUAUUCUGUGUACGAGAAAAUGAAGAGUGUACUCAUGACUAAGCACAGGAACCUGGAAAACCACAGGAUUCCUGGGAAGCCAUGGAGGAUGGGACAAACUCAGAAAUGGAGCUUGAGGAUAUUUUAGAACUGAUGAGUGGGAAGUUAUCCUGUCUAAGAAGGCUUUUUGUCUAAACCUUUAAAUUGCUUCUGAGAGAACAUGGUUAUACCACAAAUGUCCACAGACGACUAAGUCACCUUGUAUCAACUACACUGCGGUAACUGGCUUUGGGCACAGUUUUAGUUAUCCCCAGUUGCAAAAUAAGUUGCAGGCAGAAUGAUAUACUUCACUGUUAGAAUGGGCUAAGAGCGUACAUCCCAUUAGGUGUAGCCAAUAAACUGCUAAAUUACAGUAGCUUGGCAUCUUGAGAUUCUGGAAUCCAAAUAAAAAUGUUUGGUUUUAUUUUUUUAUUCACUGUUUUGAGAAAAAAAAAAAACAACCCAUCAGGGAAACUAUACUUCGGGUAUAGCUUUGUGGGCACCCAAGCUCUGAAGGUGUAAGAUCUCUGUAGAGAGGCUGUAUCUCUGUGGGUGAAUAGUAAGACCCUGAUCUCUGAGUGGGAUUUGUGGGUGCCACCAUAAUGCACCCUUCAAAAUACAGUGUGCCUUGGAUAGAGUACCCUGAAGACAUACUGCUGUUCUUAACCUCAAUUAAAAAAAAAAAAAAAAGUGAAUAAAUAUAGGUCUUCAGGGCUGUUCUGCAGGGGAGAGCUGCUCUUAACCAUUUUUGCCUGGCCAUCAUGUUGUUGCUUGUCACCUGUCACUUCUGAGUGGAGACAUACUCAGGUGUUGGUGGGGAGAAAAAAAGCAUCAGCAGUAAUUUUUAUACAGCUCUGUAGGGUUUUUUUUGUUAUCUCUUACUGAGCAAAACCGUUAAGUAUACUUUCAAAACCUACAUUAAUAGACCUGAUAAAGUCAAUUGAACUGUAUGUAGUACCGGACAGCAUAUGCUUAUGGCUUUGAACAUUGUUGAGUUCAUUAGUUUGUGCUAACAUAUUUAGAACAGAAAAUGAAAAUGUCAUUUGUCAUUGGUACAAAAUUUUAAUGGGGUCUUCCAUUACAUCAAGUGUUCAAAAUAUUACAUAAAAGAAAACUGGGAACUAAGCAGCGCAAUGCUCAAGAGUUCAAUUUACAGCCACUUCUCUGUGCUAAUUAUGAAGUAUUGACAUAAAUGAAUGAAACUACUUGUUAAAGCACCUUUUGCAGUGUAUAGCAGUUAUGAGUUCACAAGAUGAUUCAUAACAUUCAGCAAUUUGUGAUGAGUUUCCCUGCCAUUACUGGAGAUUACUAAGUAUCUAAUGUAUUUGCACUACACUGGGUUACUUUAAAUUAUAUUUGAUGGUGGAAAGGGAAGGAAAACCAUUUUCUAUCAACUGAAAAAUCAGGCCUGUUGUAUGAAUCAGUCAGUAUUGAAUUUCUCUUUCCUGUACAGUACAACUUAUCCUUUACAAUAAAAUACAAAUGUUUAAUCAUCUUGCCUAUAAAUACAGCAGUGACAGUGUGUGUGUGGGAAACCCUCAAGACUUCUUUUGUGUUGAAAGCUGUGUACAUUAGAACUAAUAAAAUACAGCAGACUUGCUGUAACUGAAAGUAGAAUUCAUAGUAAGAAAUCUAAAUAUGGAAUCUAAAUGUGUAAGGUCCCAUUCUAAAUCAGCAAGUCUUGGUUAUAUAAAAUGCUGUUUGAUUUGAUGCAGGAUGUAUUUGUAUGUACAGCUCCCAUUUCCAGUGCAACAGAUGCUGCAUCUUAGAAAACUGUCUUGAGCUUCUGCUCUGAACUGAAAGUUGUGGCUGGUUACAUGUUCUGUUGUCUUAAGAAAACUGUGUUUAAGGGCUUGUACAAUCAGUCAUUUCACAGUAUCAUAAAGAUGGCUGUAAUCUGUUAGAUGAUAAAGUGUGAUUGCCUGGCAGUUAUGGGAAAUGUCUGUUAAUGAUACCAAGGUUUUACACAAGAAAAAUUCAACUUUCUCACUCUUUGAUACUUGUGUAGGAUUGUCUUGACAAUGGUUUGCAGGAACGUGGAGAAAGGUACUAGGCUGAUGGAUUAAUGAUGCUAAAUUGAGGAUAAAGAAGCUACUUAAAAAAAAUAUUUAUUUUGUGAAACCUUAAUAGGCACCAACCAGUCCAGUAUCAAAGGCAGAUUUUUAGAAAACCAAUAGAUCAUCUAUCAGGAGGAUGAGGAUGGUCUGAAUCAAAGUCUCGGGGAGGUGAGGCACAAAGUGAAAACUUCAGAUGGCAUACACUGAUUGUAAGCCUAAAACACAAGCAGUGUGUCUAAGGCCAUUUAGCUUAGACACUUUGGCUUCUCAAGCGAAAUGUUGAUAUCAGGUCUCCAGUUACAAGAGACUGGCUUUUUCUUAAUCUCAGCAGUAUUAGUACAGCUGUUAAACCAACCUGAUAGUUAUGACAUUGCAAGGUGCCCAUUUUAGAUUACUACAACUGAAGUGGACUCUUGUGAAAGUCAACAUGGUAAGCAUAUGUGUAAGGAAAGUAUCCUUAUUUAGCAAAUGUGUGAAGCAAACCUCUAGGCAGGUAGUCUCGUGCUAUCUUUGGGCAGGCUGACACUGGCUUCUUUGAGAAGUAAGUCCUAAUGUAGGAGGACAUCAAACUUGUGAAGGAGAAAUUGUCCUGAAAUUACAUUAUGUAAGUGAGACCUUGCUCUCAGGUGAUGGCCAAGUGUCUUUUUGCACUAAAAAUGCCAUUAUGUAAUGUUGGUUCUAGAUGAUAGACAUCUUCUGCCAUGGUGGAGUCACACUCCACUUAAUUGAGUGCAACUGACUGGAUUUAUGAUGCUGGAGGGGAGCAUACGGUAACCUUCCAACUACAUGCCAAGGUGGCUUUCAACAAAAGGAGUCUAGACUGUCUUUUUUAGUGCUGGAGAAGCUGGUGGAGAAGUGCUGGUGACAUAGAACAGCUACCAAAAUAGUGCUGGAAGCAACAUCUGAGUUGCUAGAUAGGUUAAGAAUGAAGACCUCCGCAGUGUCAGUCUGCACUAUAACCUCAAUACCGUGCUUGUGGGCAAGCAGAAAGGGUACACAGGUCAAGAUGACACAGCCUCUGGAGUUGAAGUCCUUAAUAUUGCUGUGCAUAGGACAGAAGUUGAUGAAGGUCAUGUAGAAAACAGUGAAGAACUGCCUGAAAAAUUAGGUCCAAUUUAGGCAGGAGCACAGAAGAAUAGGCCGUCAGACCAAAACAGAAGUAUUUCGAUGCAAAUACUAGAAGACUAGAAGAUAAGAUGGAGGGACUCAAUGCCUAGUUCUAAAGUAAGUUAUCAACAGUAUAGAUCUACCAUAGGGAAAGUAGCUAGCAGGACACUCAUUAGUGUUUCUAUGGAAAUCCUGGUAAGAGGAACAGUCAAAAGCGUAAAAUGCUUGCAGCCAGCGAGGAGGGGCUCAGAACAAAUGCAUACCCCCUAACAACUGCUUCUCUGACACUUUAAAAAGACUUUAAGAAGUAAUUAGCAUGGUUGAGCAGGCUGUAAGGAAUGGAGAGAGAUCCUUCAAAAACUUAUGUCUGAAAAAAAGGUGAAAAUCAGGCAAAUUAAACAUAAAAUGUGGUGAAACAAGUUAAAGCCUGAUAUGUGAUUUGUAAAAGGCAGAGAAUCUUGUCGCAAGUGCUCUUUCAAAAACAUCAGAAAAGGGAAGGCUGUUGGGCCAAUCGAUAACUAAGAUUUAAAAGGGCUCAAAGAAGAUUGCACUGUAACUGAAAGAGUAUGAGAUACUUGUGUUCACUGUGCUCAGAUUCCUGAACAAAAUCUCUUCUCUGUGGGGAGAGAAGCACAAGGUCCUUUUGAGGCACCUGUUCCAAAUCCAAGUGAUGCUGGCACAGUUUAUUUUUAAGAAAAAAAAUAUAAAAAUGAGUUGCAGCAAAUUGCCAGCCCUGGAUGCACCCAAGACCUGUAGAAGACCUCUUACUAUAAAAUUACUCAACUGGCAAUGGUGGUGUAUAACAGCACAAUACUGCUGUGGUAGCAGUGAAGUUGAGGGUGCCAAUGGUGAUGACAGUUUUUAAAAAGUCUUCCAGAAAGCCUAUAGGAAAGAAUGGGACAAGUAUGACUGGCAUUCAUACCAGCCAAUUUGUUGGUAAAUGUAGUAAAGAAGAAAACUAAUGGAUUAAUGGGCAAAUUUGAUACACCAGGGAAGAGUCAGAAUGGCCUCACAGGUCUGGUACAGUUCUUUGAAGAAACUGUUGAGGUUGUAAGUGUGAUCUAGUUGAUGCAGUACACUUGGGUUUCAGAAAGUCUUUUGAGAACUUCUCACCAAAGGUGCUGAGCAAAAUGAAACUGCUCUGACAUAAGAGGAAAGUCCUAUCCUAGACUGAUAGUUGGUUAAAAGACGGGGUAGGAAUAAAUGACCUGUUUUCACAGAGGGGACUGAGGACACUGCUAGAGUGGCACAUGGAUCUGUGCUAGGUUUAACACUAGUCAGUGUAUGUAUUGGUGGUCUGGAAGAGUGACUGCAGAGUGAUUCUAAGUUAAUGAGGGCGGCAAAAAUGAAAGCCAAUUUUGAAGAGCCAAAGAGAGAUCUUGUGAUGCUUAGUAACUGUGGAUGAAGCUUGCUGCUGGUACUAUGAAGUAAUGUAUGCAGGGGAGAACAAUCCUGCUGUUAUUGAGACUGUAAACCAUUAGCACCAAGUAUGUUGUAGAGAGCUUACCGUGGUAAAUCCAAGCAUUUCUGAAGUGUUUAGGACUGGACAAAAUAAAAAAUUAGGGAAGAAUGGCCAACAGAAGUCUGCUAUGCCAGUCUAUAAACCUCCUGUGCUUUUGUCUGGGCCUCUGGGUGCAGUUCUGAUCCCCAUGUUUAACAGAAGUUGAGAGGGGAAAAAAGGAGAGAUGAUAGAACUAGAAAUGGGUAGCAGUGAUGAUAAAGAGCAAUUAAAUAGAUCCAACCUGGCAAAGAAAUAGCUAAAGACGAAAAUUAUAAAAAUCUAUAUAGGAGUGUAAUGGAAAAAAAUGAACAGGGAAUGCUCAUUAACUGUCUCUUGUAGUACAAGACCCAGAGGGGAUCAAAUAAAAUUACCAAGUGACAGAUUCAGAACAAGUAAGAGGUUGCAUUUUUUUCAUAGUGCGUAGUUUAACUGUGAGCCUCUGUAUGUACUAAAUGUUUAUCUGGGUGUGGGCUUUCAGUGCAAAAGCAUCACCUCUUGCUUAGAAGACCACAAAGCCUGGUCCCUGAAGGCUGGGGAGGGAUCCUGAGGUACACCCCUGCAAGCUUUCCUUGUCCUAGUGCUCUUCUGCAGACCUCUGCUCUCAGCCUUUGCUAAAGAGACAAUACGGGGAUAGAUGUAUCUUUGGUCUGACUGAAGAUGGCUAUUAGUAUGUAAAAUGAAGACGAAUUGCAGCCCCCUAAAAAAAAUGCUGACCAUAUGCCACUCCAGAUGCAUAACAGAAUUAUUGGUGAAGAGAAAGUGUUGAGAAGGACAAAUUUUUUUUCUUGGGCCUAAUAACUUCCCAAAGGGGGGAGGGGGUGAAAUCAGUUUUCUUCUAAAACUGUACCAGUCCUCAUUAUACCACAUUGAUAUGUGAAGUUUAGUGCCUAUAUAAGGGAGUUGAGAUUCUUUGUUCUGAGGUGUCAGUGCCCAGCUUUAAUUCUGUGCUUGCUCAAAGUCGGGCAUCUGUUAUUCCUUGCAGCUUACCUUCAGAUGGACUGAAUUAAAAACCUAAAUGCAAAAAUAAACUGGAAAAGUUGGGGACAGGCUUACCUAUAUAAUGAAAUGCUUACCUGUAUAAUGAAAAAUGCAGUUUUUGAGUCAUGAACAUGGAAGAUGAAAUCUCUUUUCCUAUAAAUAUGGUGAGAUUACAACUAGGCUCUUUCCUUAUCGAAACGUACAAGGACUAAAGCUGUAUUAGGCUUGGACUGAAUAAGGACUUGGCGAAAAUAGGUUUUUAAGAAUAAAGGAUGACUUGACUGUUAGACAUGAAAAUGGCAUUUAAAUAUUAAAAGGAUGUAGAAGUUAUGAAACAAGAAUUACGUAGCCAUCCAAUCCAGUAACAAAUGAAAUUAAAUGAGAGUGUCCCAGUGGUAAGGCCUAUGAGCUUGUGUGAAUACAACUGGCUGUGAGGUAUAGAAUCAGCGCAAACAACACCCUAUAUGGAGUUAGAGGAAUGGAUGUUGGCAUAUAUACAAAGGUUAACUCUAACUCAGGAAAAUUACUCUUCUUGGGUUCCUAUGGUCAGUAACAAUAAAUCAGCUUCUCCAGUGGGUGAUAUGGAGAACCCCAAGCUGGUUUCUGCUCUGAAUUCUUCUCUAGAGGAGGCCUUCUCUGUCCACACUAGCUACAGACAGACAAGGGAGACAAAAGAUGACUGGCCUCCCUAAAUUAAAGUUGGCCUUUGAAUAUACCCGUUCCAUAUGUUAGCAUCAGACAUGACUUUUCUAGAUGUUUUAGUAGGUCACUUUUUUCUUAGUGGUACUAAGAUGGAAAUACAUAGCAAGACAAUACCAGCUAAACCCAUUUUUAAAGGUUUGAUGAAUAAGUGCCUAUUUCAUACUACUUAAGGUUCAGAUUGUCCCACAAAGUUUUCUAUGCUUGCCUGACACAGCGAAGAGCUGUAUUAAAAAUGAGAC
Molecule: non-coding RNA, 8110 nt
Organism: Phalacrocorax carbo (great cormorant)
Lineage: Eukaryota; Metazoa; Chordata; Aves; Suliformes; Phalacrocoracidae
Source: RefSeq, a predicted model, not a curated record